This 301-nucleotide ribosomal RNA is filed under the name uncultured bacterium. Its description in RNAcentral is "partial 16S ribosomal RNA". It matches the Rfam family "Bacterial small subunit ribosomal RNA", at positions 509 to 808 of the family's 1533-position model. The record is from RNAcentral.
CAGUAGCCACGGUAAAACGUAGGUGGCAAGCGUUGUCCGGAAUUAUUGGGCGUAAAGCGCGCGCAGGCGGAUAGGUCAGUCUGUCUUAAAAGUUCGGGGCUUAACCCCGUGAUGGGAUGGAAACUGCCAAUCUAGAGUAUCGGAGAGGAAAGUGGAAUUCCUAGUGUAGCGGUGAAAUGCGUAGAUAUUAGGAAGAACACCAGUGGCGAAGGCGACUUUCUGGACGAAAACUGACGCUGAGGCGCGAAAGCCAGGGGAGCGAACGGGAUUAGAUACCCCCGUAGUCCCUGUCUCUUAUACC